Molecule: long non-coding RNA, 1097 nt
Organism: Cottoperca gobio
Lineage: Eukaryota; Metazoa; Chordata; Actinopteri; Perciformes; Bovichtidae
Exons: 2
Source: RefSeq, a predicted model, not a curated record
AUCAUGUGCAAUGGACCAGCGUAUCAAGAAGUAUUAUUUGUCUGAGAAGUUUGUAUAUCCUCCUCGUGAGAGUUUUGUGUUUGAUUAUCCAAUUUUUUGAAGUAUAGUAUUGUUUUUUUACAUUUGGUUCUGGCGUCGUGCGUUUUAGUCUUCCUUCCCUGUGUCCGAGGUCGUGACAGAAAAAAUCACCUGGAGCCACAUCCGUAAAGAUGAGGAAAAUGAGGGAGGUCCAUAAAGAAGUCGAACAAGUUUCUUGAGUAGAAGAAGAAGCUUGAGAAAAACCGUCAUGGGAAAUAAGAACUUGCGAUUGAGGGGAGCGACAGGACUAGGAUGGGAAGGGAUUGGCUACAACAAAAGUCAUAAGGUAUUACAUCAAACAGAAAAGGAGCUGAGCAUUUCUGCGCCAUCUGCAGACUCUAAAUGGCAAAGUCUGGGGGUGGGAAGAAGGAUUGAUUUGAUGCAUGUGAGAAUCCGCAGGAAAAUCAAUAUGUUCACCAAAAACCCACGAUUGACUUAACAGCACAUGGCAACCUCUGAGCGGUGCUGAGAGCAAAUGUCGACACAGUUUGUUAUAGACGUUCUGUGCCGAUAUGAUCUCUGCCCUGCUUUUUAGUUCAGCACAUCGCCUGCCCGUAGGACACUCACUCAACUGCUCGCCCAGUUGGGUCGGAAUAAUAUUAUUGAGGUGGGUGGCUAAGAUAUCACAGUCCCCUACUAUUUUAUUGCUGUCAAGCUCCAGCAUGUGUCAAACUAAGCUCUUUCUGUGGGCGUUCGGAGAGCAACUCACCUUUACUGCACGCCUGAAGAACGAGACUGCGACGAUCACUCAGCUUCCUCUUUCAUCUUAAGUUGUGCAUUUAUUCCUCUUUCAAUUCCUGUUAUUUAUUUUUGUUUUGUGUAAGUGCAUGGAUUUCUUUUCAUUGCACUGUAUGCAAAUUGUUUUAAGUGGGGAAGAGCAUCACAGCUUGUAAAUACCAUGUCAGGUUUCUCUACUAUAUAAUAUGUAUCUGUCCAUGUAUAACAAAGAGAUGUCACACCAAAGAUGAUUUCUUUAUUCAAACGUUUUAUUAAACAAAUAAUUUGUCUGUUUUAAAGUU